This is a non-coding RNA of Onthophagus taurus, 593 nucleotides long. The record is from RefSeq and is a predicted model, not a curated record. Lineage: Eukaryota; Metazoa; Arthropoda; Insecta; Coleoptera; Scarabaeidae.
CAAAAUAAGCACAGUGGUGACAUUCGUUAAAAUUUAAACGUUUUUACUGUUUAAUGCAAUAGAUUUCCACAAUGGAAUUACACAAACAAAGGUUUUAUGAACAACUGUAUGAACGAAGAAAAGACGUUGCCGAUAACAACCGCGGCUUAACGAGAGAAAAAUAUAGUAGUCUCAUUGAAGAAGUAAAAAUUGCUAAGGCUGCUAAAAAAAAAGUCCAAGAAUGCACUGGCUCUUAAAGCAUUAUGAUGUGUUAUCUGUUCAGGGGGUAGAAAAACUGAUAGUGCCUCUUAACAAUGAUUUAGUUGAUGUAAUAUAUUACGUCCAUGACGACGAGUUGUUUAACAUUCUUCAAGAACUACACACAUCCACAGGUCAUGGUGGUAGAGAUCGCAUGAUGAAAAAAACAAAGGAAAAAUACAAGAAUAUAGUGCGUACUGAAAUUUUAUUGUUUAUUAACUUGUGCGCUCCAUGUCAAAUGAAAGAAAAAAGGGAAAAGAAGGGAAUUAUAUCAAAACCGAUGAUCUUCAAUGAUCUGAAUUCCAGAUGUCAAGUAGACUUAAUCGAUUAUCAGUCGCAUGCUGAUGGUAAAUACA